UACGUAGGUGACUAGCGUUGUCCGGAUUUACUGGGCGUAAAGAGCGCGCAGGCGGUCGUUCAAGUCGAGUGUGAAAGCCCCCGGCUCAACUGGGGAGGGUCAUUCGAUACUGAUCGACUCGAAGGCAGGAGAGGGAAGCGGAAUUCCCGGUGUAGUGGUGAAAUGCGUAGAUAUCGGGAGGACCACCAGUGGCGAAGGCGGCUUGCCAGAACGCGCUCGACGGUGAGGGAUGAAAGCUGGGGGAGCAAACCGG
RNAcentral lists this ribosomal RNA (253 nucleotides) under uncultured bacterium. RNAcentral's name for it is "partial 16S ribosomal RNA". It matches the Rfam family "Bacterial small subunit ribosomal RNA", at positions 524 to 776 of the family's 1533-position model. The record is from RNAcentral.